RNAcentral lists this non-coding RNA (31 nucleotides) under Rattus norvegicus (Norway rat). The record is from RNAcentral. Lineage: Eukaryota; Metazoa; Chordata; Mammalia; Rodentia; Muridae.
UAAAGCUUAGUGUAUUGAUUGCACAUGAAGU